Long non-coding RNA from Leopardus geoffroyi (Geoffroy's cat), 1451 nucleotides. RefSeq lists it as uncharacterized. The record is from RefSeq and is a predicted model, not a curated record. The transcript is spliced from 2 exons. Lineage: Eukaryota; Metazoa; Chordata; Mammalia; Carnivora; Felidae.
AAGGUAAAGGGACAAGGAGCACUUACAGAAGUGUCCCUCAGCCCUAGAUGUACCCCCAGACCAGCAGCCUCAGCAUCACUGGGGAGCCUGUUAGAAAUGCAGGCUCGCAGGCCCCGCCCCACACCUACUGAAUCGAAACCUGCGUUUUAACAAGAUCCCAGGUGAUUUCAGUGCCUAUUAAAGUUUGAGAAGCCUGGGUCUGGGUCCGUGGUCCGCCCUCCGCAGCCCUGGCUGAACACUGGAAUCACCUGGGGAACUUUGCAAACACACACCCGUGGUUCAGACUUCAGGGGGCUGGGGGCAACCUAGGCAUCAGAGGGGUUUGCUUCUGUUUUGUUUCGCGGUUUAGCUCCCCAGGUGAUUCUAAGGGGCAGCAACCUCUGAGACCCCUGUCAGGAAGAAGGGACAGGCUGAAGGCUGUGGAAGGUAGAAGCCACCAGCGACUUGCCGUCCCCUCCCAAAGCACAGCGACGCAGUCGGGGGUGGGAGGCCGGGGAGACCCGGUGCCGGGGCAGUGCCCAGCCGGGUCUCCUUCCCGCCGGUGCGUGCGGCUGGGCAGAGACCGGCUGCGGAAGGACGAGGGCUGGGAGCCUCCUUCUCAAGAACCCCGACUGUCUGGACGCUGGGAGGCCGCUUCGGAUUGGGCCCACUGUCCUGUCCCAAAGGAGAUGCCUGCCAAAAGGAAGUAGAAGGCUCAAGUCAAGAGAAGACACAGGACUGAUUCAAGGCUGUGGGGUAAGAGCAGCCCCAAAUGGUUGGUGCCAAUCCCUUUCUGCUCACCUCAGCUUGAUGACAUGGAAAGGUUUAAACGUCUGUUGAGUCUUUCGCGGGAUGUGGUUAUUGAGAGACUGGGAGCUCUAAAGAGCCCACUCAAGACAAAGAGCAUGGGUCCUGUGAUCUUCUCAAUAAAUUAGCACCAAUUCUCUGCCAAGCACUGGGCUAAUAGGUACAGUGGGACUCAACUGUGUGGAGACUCAGACCCUGUCCUCCAAAGAUCUAGAAUUCUGCAAGAGAGGUAUAAUGUGCAAAUGUCGCUUAAAAAUAAGACCGCAUGUCAUAAAUGCCAUUAGAAAAAUAGAAUCAAAUUAAUAUUCCUGAAAAAUGAAGGAGAUCCUGAUACAUGCAACUAACUUGAAUGAACCUUAAGGACAUUAUUCUAAGUGAAAUAAGCUAAUCGCAAAAAGACUGUAUGAUUUCACAUAUGAUUUUCACUUAUUUGACUACCUAAAGUAGUCAGAUUCAUUGAGAUGAAAAGUAGAAUGGUGGUGGUCAGUAGAACGGGGUGGUGAUGCUUAAUGGGUACCGAGUUCCAGUUUUGCAAGAUGAAAAAGUUCUGGAGAUUGGCUGCACAACAAUAUAAAUACACUUAACAGUAUUGGACUGUAUGCUGAAAAAUGUUUAAGAUGGUAAAAUUUAUGUUAUGUGUAUUUUGCCAUGACUAGCUAUAAAAA